RNAcentral lists this long non-coding RNA (957 nucleotides) under Nicotiana benthamiana. Its description in RNAcentral is "long non-coding RNA (NBEN_LNC013625)". Lineage: Eukaryota; Viridiplantae; Streptophyta; Magnoliopsida; Solanales; Solanaceae. The record is from RNAcentral.
CCAGGAUGAUAAAAAAUGGUGAUAUCAUAGUCUUUGAGUAACUCCAGCCACCUCCACUUUCUCAAAUUAAGAUCUUUCUAUUUAAACAAAUGCUGAAGACUGUGAUGGUCUGUAUAUACCUCACAAGAUACACCAUAAAGAUAGUGCCUCGAAAUUUUCAAGGCAUGCACAAUCGCAGCUAACUCUAAGUCAUGAACAUGAUAGUUUUUCUCAUGGGGCUUUAGCUGACGAGAAGCAUACGCAAUAACUCUACCCUCCUACAUCAACACAAGGCAUGCACAAUCGCAGCUAACUCUAAGUCAUGAACAUGAUAGUUUUUCUCAUGGGGCUUUAGCUGACGAGAAGCAUACGCAAUAACUGUAGCCCCCUGCAUCAACACACAUCCGAUCCCAACUCUUGAAGCAUCACAAUACACUGUGUAUGAGCCCGAAGCUGAUGGUAAUACUAAUACCGAAGCUCUGGUCAAGGCCGCCUUGAGCUUCUGAAAACUCUUCCCGCAUUCAUCUGACCACACAAAAGGAGCAUUCUUCUAAGUAAGCUUCGUCAAAGGCGAAGCAAUAGAUGAGAAACCCUGAACGAAUUUGCAGUAAUAACCCGCCAAACCAAGGAAACUCUAAAUAACAAUGGCUGAUGACGGUCAGGGCCAACUCUGCACCGCCUCAAACUUCUUUGGGUCGACCUGAAUACCAUCACUGGACACUACAUGUCCCAGAAAGGUCACAGUAUUAAGCCAGAAUUCACACUUAGAGAAUUUUGCAUAAAGCUUCUCCUUUCUCAAUCGCUGCAAGACCACCCUCAAGUGUUGUGCGUGCUCCUACUGGCUACGCGAAUACACCAAGAUAUCAUCAAUAAACACAAUCACGAAGGAAUCUAGAUAAGGCCGAAAGACAUUGUCCAUCAAGUGCGUGAACGCGGCAGGGGCAUUUUUCAUCCCGAAAGACAUCACUAGAAACUCGU